UAGAGGUAGAAUGUUAAGUGAAGUAGAAAAAAACGAAUGUGUUAAGAGAAUGGGACAGGUAGGAAGAAAUUUUGGAAGGGGUGGGGGUUUGGAGGUGGAAGGGAUUAGAGAAAAAAAUAUAAUUCUAGAGCUUGGGUAAGCAGAAUGGGGAGGGAAAUUUUUAGGGAGUGGAAAGACUGCUCGAUGGGGAUGGAAGCAUAGAGAUGGGAGCUGAUUAGUUUUUCGACCGAUCAAUGGGAUUCAAUGAAUCAUUCAUUGCCAUCUUUAUAAGCAGCUGGGUUUUUACGAUUCAGCGGGUUUUAUCAAAUCCUGCCAAGUCUACAGGGAGAUGAUUCAAGAUUUGGAGAUGUUGUGGAGCACUGGUUUCAGACAUCGUUUGCUUUGCUCAUAUAACCUAUUUGAAGAAUGUGGUUGACUUCUGAUAUUUCACUACUUCAUGGUUUGGGGAUCAAAUUUGUCCUUAUUCCCAGGGCUAAUAUUAAAAUUGACGAGUUAUUGGCGGAGCGAGGUAAGAAGGGAAAGUACAUUGGUUGUUACAGAGUAACAGAUGGCGAUUCACUGGAGGCUGCAAUGGAAGCAGCCGGCAUGAUUCAAGUGAAAUUAGAAGCAAAGCUUUCUCCUGGGCCCCCAAUAUUAAAUCUUCGUCGGCAUGGUGGUAUUAAUCGUUGGCAUGAAGUUGGUUCCUUUGUUGCAAGUGGCAACGUUGUGGCAGCUAAGAGAAGAGGAGUUGUUGAUGGUAUUGAUUAUGGAUUGACUGGUGAAGUAAAGAAAAUUGAUGUUCCUCGCAUACGAGAAAGGCUUGAGAAGGAUUCUAUAGUUAUAGUAAGCAAUUUGGGAUAUUCCAGCACGGGAGAAGGUUUAAAUUGCAACACCCAUGAAGUUGCCACUGCUUGUGCCUUGGCCCUUGAAGCCGACAAAUUGAUUUGCAUCACAGAUGGUCAGAUUGUCAAUGAAAAGGGCUGCCCUAUUCGUUUCAUCUCUCUUCAAGAAGAAGAUUUCAUGAUUAAGAAUAAAUCUAAACAGAAUGAAGCUGCGAACCACGUGAAGGUUGUUGGUUCAGAAAAUUAUAUUCACCCUUUCAAUUUUGAAUCAGUUGAGAGCGGCAAACAAGCUAUGGCCACGGAAGCCUUUAGUCUAGGGAAUUAUGCAAAUGCUCAAAAUGUUGUUGGAGUUGAUAAAUUUAGUGCAUCAUGGUCAAUUGGACAAGGAUUUGCUAUUGGUGGUGAAGAACGGAUGAGCACACCCUACUUUGCUGAGCUAGCUAGUGCUGCAUUUGUCUGCAAGCGUGGAGUUCAAAGAGUUCACAUAGUAGAUGGAACUUGUGGUGGGGCAUUGCUUCUUGAUUUGUUCACAAGAGAUGGGAGAGGAACAAUGAUAGCUGGUAAUGUUUAUGAGGGAACUAGAAUGGCAAGGGACAUGGAUCUUCCGGGUAUAAAGAAAGUUAUCAAUCCUUUAGAAGAAUCUGGUACACUGAUUCUGAGAUCUGAAGAACAGCUACGUAAUGAACUAGAUUCAUUCGUUGUUGUUGAACGGGAUGGUUCUGUUAUUGCUUGUGCUGCUCUUUUCCCUUUUCUUGAAGAGAAGUGUGGGGAGGUUGCGUCAUUUGCUGUGUCUGCAGAAUGCCGUGGACAGGGUCAGGGAGACAAGUUGCUAGAUUAUAUUGAGAAGAUGGCUUCAUCUCUUGAACUAGAAAGACUGUUCUUGCUCACAACUCGUAGUGUUGAUUGGUUUAUUGCUUGCUGAAAUUGCAACUGUCUGUGAAACACACCGCAGAGCAUAUAUUCAUCAAGAUAUUAUCUAUAAAGCUAUAUCACAUUUAAUUGAUAAUUUGGGGCGGAUGUUAGAGACGUUCAGCUUAUGAUGUUUAGCGUCUUUUAAUGUGAUAUGCAUAGUGGCUAGUGCAUAUGAUGCAAAACAUAGUAGUGUCGAAGUAGUUGUGGGCUUCAAUGUGGUAGAGGACCAAGCGUAGUGGGUCAAUGGAUUCUAUAGGCUCGCAAGGGCUGGCUAAAGUAUGUGUGCUAGAUUGCCCUAAAAGAAUAUUGCCCCAAACAUAAUUUAUUUUAAUUAUAGGGGUCGAGGUUUCAUAAAGGAGCAAGCGGUUAAGCUCUUAUGAUUUAGUAUGUUUAUUGGAGCACAUGCAGAUGAUUUAAAUUCUUUUAGUAGGUUUAUCAGGCACAUGCAAAUGGUUUUAAUUUAAAAGAAUUGAGCAUAAUUUAGAGAACAUGCAUGCGUAUUUAAGUGCUUGCACAACUUUUGAGGUGUAAUUUGAGUUUACUACUGCUUGAUGAUGUGCAUAGGAAACUUGAAAUUAUUUGGAUUUGGUUGUUUGUGUGAAUGUUUUAUCAUUAAGAUGCAUGCAAACUUUCCAUGUUGUCUGCUUGCAUGUUUGUUCUGGAUUUGGUUACAAAUAUUUCAAGUUAGAUUCUCAUUGUGCAUUGAAGGCAGUGAUGGUUGCUUGGUUAUAUUUAAUGUGGAUGCAGUUCAUGCUUCGAACAACUCUAAAUAGUCGGUGAGGAGUUCUAAUCGUGCUCAUUGGUUUGUUCGACGAGGAUUCUCCGAGUGUUCUAUAGAGGCAAUUCCAGAGGAAAGGCGGAAAAGGAUCGACUUUUCUCGAGGAUCAAAAUAUUACAUGAAAAAGCUGCAGGCUGAAAUGGGAGGAAUUACAAUGAACC
Dendrobium catenatum is the source of this 2672-nucleotide RNA transcript. It is a transcript of the gene named probable amino-acid acetyltransferase NAGS2, chloroplastic, with no coding region annotated. The record is from RefSeq and is a predicted model, not a curated record. NCBI's taxonomy places the organism in Eukaryota, Viridiplantae, Streptophyta, Magnoliopsida, Asparagales, Orchidaceae. The transcript is spliced from 13 exons.